GACGAACCGUGCGACCGUUGUUCGGAAUCACUGGGCUUAAAGGGCGCGUAGGCGGCUCGCGAGGUCGGGGGUGAAAUCCCGCAGCUUAACUGCGGAAGGGCCUCCGAUACCGGCGGGCUGGAGGAAGGUAGGGGUGCGCGGAACUUCUGGUGGAGCGGUGAAAUGCGUUGAUAUCAGAAGGAACGCCGGCGGCGAAAGCGGCGCACUGGACCUUUUCUGACGCUGAGGCGCGAAAGCUAGGGGAGCAAACGGG
Molecule: ribosomal RNA, 253 nt
Filed under: uncultured bacterium
Lineage: Bacteria
Description: partial 16S ribosomal RNA
Rfam family: Bacterial small subunit ribosomal RNA
Source: RNAcentral